Molecule: long non-coding RNA, 2928 nt
Organism: Lolium perenne
Lineage: Eukaryota; Viridiplantae; Streptophyta; Magnoliopsida; Poales; Poaceae
Source: RefSeq, a predicted model, not a curated record
AAACACACUAGGAGGCAGUGGCGCGGCGCACGCCGCGCCCGUGUCCAUUUGUUUGUAGAGAAAGCUUUCAAGUCUGAAUUAUAUGCAGUUGGUGAGCAGAAGAUUGACAGCGUAUACCUUUUUUUCGACGAAAUUUUCUUGAGCUUAUUUUUCGAGGAAAUUAACAGCUUAUGCACGAGAGGCGCUGUUCGUGUUUUUCGCGGCCAGCCCAGCUUCUGUUUAGUCGGCGGGCUACAGUAAGACUCUUUUGGUGGGCGGCAACAGCAGGUCAGGUUCUAACAGUGAUAGUAUAUCUUAGAUGAGGUGGGGACCUCUCGAAAGAAAGAUGUGGUGGAGAAAAAUAGUGGAUUGAAGAAGAGUGAGCAGAAGAACGGUGCCAGCUCUGGGUGCGGUAGCUGAAGGAAGGGGGCGGAGGUCAUAGGGACGGCGGUUGGCAAGAUAGUGUCAGCAUGCGGGCGGCCUUGAAUUUAAUCUUUGUCGGGGGCUGUGUGCGGAGGAUGUUACCUGAGUUUGUCGGUCUGCGGGUGUCGUCGGAGCUGGUCGGAGGAAGGUUGAAGUCCAGGCCGAACUUUGUAGAGAUGGUUCUGCGGAUCUUCUUCGGCAGCUUUUCUGGCGGGUGGCAGUCUCCCUCGACCAAGUGCGGACUGAACUGCAAGUAAAGGAUUGUGGUCUUUAUCAUGAUAACCCUGACCUACCACCUCGUUUGCUCCUCUGAAUCAAGCGAUGAAGGGGAGGGCAACAGUGGCGGGAUAAGAUUUGGAGGGUGGCCAUGGCGGGCGUAAGCGUGGAUCUGGUGCACAUAGGAGAAAUCUACGCGGAGGAGAGGCUGGCUAAGUUUCGGGCCUGAACGCGCCGGACUGGAGACGAUGGGGCGCCGCUGAGUUUUAGGAAGAGUAGUCUGGCGUGCAGACUGGUCGGCAGAACAGGAGCUUCUGUUUGACUGGUACUACUCGCCAUUCCAUCUGCAAGGUAAAUUUAGUUUACAAUGCUUUGCUAGCAGUGAACCGUGUAGGGGGGCAUGGUACUAUGGCAAGAUAAAUUCAGAAGGGACCCAAUUUCUUGUCAGGCUGGAGGAAGAUAUAGAAAUUACAAAGAUUACAUCAUAUAUGUUGAACCGACUUGAAUUUCUGCCCAGCCAAAAGAAAUUGAUCUGUUAUUACUUUCGGUUGCCCUUGUUUGCCUGGAGAAGGUAAAUGUAAGACUUGAGUAUUUCUCUUUGUCUAGGUAGUAUCCUGUGUUUUUUUUUGUCUUAGUGUGAAUAUACAUAUAUUGGAAAACAGAAAAGGAAAUCAAGCUCACCCCGCUGAUCAGAACGAUGAGGAGCGAUGCAAAGUUAAUAUUAGCAAGAAAAUUACCACUUUCACCAUCUAUGUUAGCAUCAAGUAAUAUGAAUCGGAGGGAGUAUGUAAAAAAGAAGUAUACCAUAAGUCAACACAUAGCUGGCAGCUGACAAUACAGUCUAUGUUGCCUGAAGAAAACACAAAAGUAGUGCACAAUAGCCUAACCCACAGAUAAGCGUUUACAACACGAUCUACUAAAACAAAAUACAAUCUAUGAUGCCAUAGCAGAAACAAAGCUUCAAAGUGUUCAACAUUUAGGGCGACGGUAGCUUGUAUGGACACAUCAAGGAUGGGAACAUUUGCAACCUCUUUCUGUAGAAAGCUCUGUCAAGUUUGUCAGGACAUCGGCAACAUUUGUAUGUGCAGUCUGGUCGGCAUAAUAUAUGUGGUAGUGCACCACACAGUACACAUAUAUUUAGCAAGGGAUUUGCCAAGAUCUCCUUUUGUGUCACCUGUAACUGUAUCGUCUUAUUUUUAUCCAGCAACAUAGGCUUUGGCAAAUAAACAUCGACCCUAUCAAGUGUUUGCCCCUGACUUUUAUUAUUUGUCAUUGCGUAGCAGAGAGGAAUUGGAUAUAUUGCCAGCGACGUACAGUAAAAGGCCACUUUGUGCAUGUGUGUGCAGUACAAUCCUUGGUAUGCAGACACGCUCACCUGUGUUGGUUCCAGUCAUAAUCUUGUCCUGAACUCUUGUACCUGGCCUCCUAGGAGGAUUGCAACAUACUAUCUUUUCAAUGAAAUGUAGCGCAAAAGUCUUUUGUGUUUUCUCGAAAACAAUAAUCUUGGCCUGAAGAAACCAUUCACCAAGUCUGGUUACAAUUAGACGGGUACCACUACAGAGCUCAAUAGAUUGGUUUAUGCUCCGUAGCAGUAUUACUGGAACUCCGACCUUCAGUGAAACACUAUGCUGCGAGAAAUUAGGGGGCCGACCUUAUCGACAAAUUCUGGAGGGUAUACUGUUGCAUCUCCAGGAACCACAGGAAAAAAGUUCAUCAUUUGACUGCAUCAACAACUUUAUCAGUAGGUCAGAGUAUUGCCAAGUAGGGCACAUCAGAGAAAUUCUCAUCGAAUUAGUCAUAUACUUCAACAAUAAUAGCGAGUGUGAGGAACGACCAAACCCGGCUGUGAUGCAAAUUAAUUAAAAAAGAUUUGGCCAUGAAAAUUAGUUUUCUGUGAGCUAGUAUCGAUAAACAGAGAUAUUUUUACUGAUACUUGUGCCUGCAUAUAGCUUACAUGCUAACUUCGUGAAGCCAAUUACCAGUAUUGCAGCAUUGACCUUAGCUUGGUGAGGCUGCUAGAUUGAUAACUGUUCCCUGCAUGCAAAUGGAUGGAUUGUUUUAAUACGGGAGAUGGUCUAUUGUUUUGAUCAUGUACCAUCCUUACAACUCCUUCAGGCCUCUCUGCAAAGAACAUCUGGAUGAAGAUUUUUUCCACAACAUAAUUCAUUUACAGGCUGGUAAAAGAUCCAAAGCGUUAUCCCUUUUCAGGCAGGUGAUGAAAGAUAUCAGCUUUUCAGAGGUAAAUGUUAAAGUAUGGCCAGUGUUUCUUUUGUGGAAUACGUUUCAGAUUAAAUGAAUAACUGCCAUAGA